CCUAAUGUCACGUACAAAAACAUAGGGAAUUUGCAUGGAAAAUCUUCCACUAGGGAAAAGGAAAACACCUUAAUUUGAAACUGAGCUAACAUGUUGAUUUGGGGGCUUUACGAGCAAGGGUAUGAACAAAGCGGGGCAGUUGGAGAAGCGGAAGAAGAGAAAAAGAGGUGAAGCCAUCAGUGUCUACAGCUUCAGCUAUUGCCCGUGUGCAGAUGGUGCUUAAUCUCUCUUGUGCCUUCCAGACCUGCAUUCCAGCCACCUACCAAACCCCUUUCUGUGGAUGCCAAGAAAAGUCUUCAGACCGUGGACAAUGUGCUCUUUGCCCCUAUUAUGGAGAAAGGUGUUCCCUAGACUGCAAUGCCACUAUCAGAGGCUACCUUUGGCAUGAGGUCGCUGCAUCUCCAGGAGUACUCAAAACUCAAA
RNAcentral lists this long non-coding RNA (423 nucleotides) under Homo sapiens (human). RNAcentral's name for it is "PREDICTED lncRNA (TCONS_00183068)". Lineage: Eukaryota; Metazoa; Chordata; Mammalia; Primates; Hominidae. The record is from RNAcentral.